Molecule: ribosomal RNA, 427 nt
Filed under: uncultured prokaryote
Description: bacterial SSU rRNA
Rfam family: Bacterial small subunit ribosomal RNA
Source: RNAcentral
UGGGGAAUUUUGGACAAUGGGCGCAAGCCUGAUCCAGCCAUGCCGCGUGAGUGAAGAAGGCCUUCGGGUUGUAAAGCUCUUUCGGCGGGGAAGAAAUGGCGCUUGUUAAUACCGAGCGUUGAUGACGGUACCCGCAUAAGAAGCACCGGCUAACUACGUGCCAGCAGCCGCGGUAAUACGUAGGGUGCGAGCGUUCAUCGGAAUUCCUGGGCGUAAAUCGUGCGCAGGCGGUUGUGUAAGUCAGAUGUGAAAUCCCCGGGCUCAACCUGGGAACUGCAUUUGAGACUGCAAGGCGAGAGUGUAGCAGAGGGGAGUAGAAUUCCACGUGUAGCAGUGAAAUGCGUAGAGAUGUGGAGGAAUACCGAGGGCGAAGGCAGCCCCCUGGGUUACUACUGACGCUCAUGCACGAAAGCGUGGGGAGCAAACA